This 345-nucleotide unclassified non-coding RNA is filed under the name soil metagenome. RNAcentral describes it as "partial contains 5.8S ribosomal RNA, internal transcribed spacer 2, and large subunit ribosomal RNA". The stretch from base 1 to 119 matches the Rfam family "5.8S ribosomal RNA", at positions 35 to 154 of the family's 154-position model. The record is from RNAcentral.
GAUGAAGAACGUAGCGAAAUGCGAUACGUAAUGUGAAUUGCAAAUUCAGUGAAUCAUCGGGUCUUUGAACGCACAUUGCGCCCCCUGGUAUUCCGGGGGGCAUGCCUGUCCGAGCGUCAUUGCUGCCCUCAAGCACGGCUUGUGUGUUGGGCCCCGUCCUCCGAUCCCGGGGGACGGGCCCGAAAGGCAGCGGCGGCACCGCGUCCGGUCCUCGAGCGUAUGGGGCUUUGUCACCCGCUCUGUAGGCCCGGCCGGCGCUUGCCGAUCAACCCAAAUUUUUAUCCAGGUUGACCUCGGAUCAGGUAGGGAUACCCGCUGAACUUAAGCAUAUCAAUAAGCGGAGGA